RNAcentral lists this ribosomal RNA (465 nucleotides) under Vreelandella stevensii. Its description in RNAcentral is "partial 16S ribosomal RNA". It matches the Rfam family "Bacterial small subunit ribosomal RNA", at positions 338 to 795 of the family's 1533-position model. Lineage: Bacteria; Pseudomonadati; Pseudomonadota; Gammaproteobacteria; Oceanospirillales; Halomonadaceae. The record is from RNAcentral.
CCUACGGGUGGCUGCAGUGGGGAAUAUUGGACAAUGGGGGCAACCCUGAUCCAGCCAUGCCGCGUGUGUGAAGAAGGCCCUCGGGUUGUAAAGCACUUUCAGUGAGGAAGAACGCCUGGUGGUUAAUACCCAUCAGGAAAGACAUCACUCACAGAAGAAGCGCCGGCUAACUCCGUGCCAGCAGCCGCGGUAAUACGGAGGGUGCGAGCGUUAAUCGGAAUUACUGGGCGUAAAGCGCGCGUAGGUGGCUUGAUAAGCCGGUUGUGAAAGCCCCGGGCUCAACCUGGGAACGGCAUCCGGAACUGUCAAGCUAGAGUGCAGGAGAGGAAGGUAGAAUUCCCGGUGUAGCGGUGAAAUGCGUAGAGAUCGGGAGGAAUACCAGUGGCGAAGGCGGCCUUCUGGACUGACACUGACACUGAGGUGCGAAAGCGUGGGUAGCAACCAGGAUUAGAUACCCCUGUAGUC